ACGAGUGGCGGACGGGUGAGUAAUGUCUGGGAAACUGCCUGGUGGAGGGGGAUAACUACUGGAAACGGUAGCUAAUACCGCAUAACGUCGAAAGACCAAAGAGGGGGACCUUCGGGCCUCUUGCCAUCGGAUGUGCCCAGAUGGGAUUAGCUUGUUGGUGGGGUAAUGGCUCACCAAGGCGACGAUCCCUAGCUGGUCUGAGAGGAUGACCAGCCACACUGGAACUGAGACACGGUCCAGACUCCUACGGGAGGCAGCAUG
This 261-nucleotide ribosomal RNA is filed under the name uncultured bacterium. Its description in RNAcentral is "partial 16S ribosomal RNA". It matches the Rfam family "Bacterial small subunit ribosomal RNA", at positions 91 to 353 of the family's 1533-position model. The record is from RNAcentral.